This 507-nucleotide ribosomal RNA is filed under the name uncultured bacterium. RNAcentral's name for it is "partial 16S ribosomal RNA". It matches the Rfam family "Bacterial small subunit ribosomal RNA", at positions 28 to 507 of the family's 1533-position model. The record is from RNAcentral.
GACGAACGCUGGCGGCGUGCCUAAUACAUGCAAGUCGAACGCAUUUUCUUUCACCGUAGCUUGCUACACCGAAAGAAAAUGAGUGGCGAACGGGUGAGUAACACGUGGGUAACCUGCCCAUCAGCGGGGGAUAACACUUGGAAACAGGUGCUAAUACCGCAUAAUUCCAUUUACCGCAUUGUAGAUAGAUGAAAGGCGCUUUUGCGUCACUGAUGGAUGGACCCGCGGUGCAUUAGCUAGUUGGUGGGGUAACGGCCUACCAAGGCUGCGAUGCAUAGCCGACCUGAGAGGGUGAUCGGCCACACUGGGACUGAGACACGGCCCAGACUCCUACGGGAGGCAGCAGUAGGGAAUCUUCGGCAAUGGACGCAAGUCUGACCGAGCAACGCCGCGUGAGGGAAGAAGGUUUUCGGAUCGUAAAACUCUGUUGUUAGAGAAGAACAAGGAUGAGAGUGGAAAGUUCAUCCCUUGACGGUAUCUAACCAGAAAGCCACGGCUAACUACGUG